RNAcentral lists this long non-coding RNA (1352 nucleotides) under Sus scrofa (pig). RNAcentral's name for it is "lncRNA (ENSSSCG00025020808.1)". The record is from RNAcentral. Lineage: Eukaryota; Metazoa; Chordata; Mammalia; Artiodactyla; Suidae.
AUUUCUUGGGCCGCUCCCACGGCAUAUGGAGGUUCCCAGGCUAGGGGUCGAAUUGGAGCUGUAGCCACUGGCCUACGCCAGAGCCACAGCAACGCUGGAUCCGAGCCGCGUCUGCAACCUACACCACAGCUCACGGCAACGCCGGAUCGUUAACCCACUGAGCAAGGGCAGGGACCGAACCCGCAACCUCAUGGUUCCUAGUUGGAUUCAUUAACCACUGCGCCACGACGGGAACUCCAAAUUUAGACCCUAUGAGAAUCUUCAGGCUGAACUGUAUCAGAAAAAAAUAUGAUAUUUUCAGUCUCAAACCUGUAUCUUUAUUUAUUUAUUUAUUUUGUCUUUUGUCUCUUUUUUAGAGCUGCACCCAUGGCAUAUGGAGGUUCCCAGGCUAGGGGUCAAAUUGGAGCUGCAGUCUUGGGCCCAUGCCAGAGCCGUAGCAAUAUCAGAUCCAAGCUGCGUCUGCAACCUACACCAUAGCUCAUGGCAAUGCCGGAUCCUUAACCCACUGAUUGAGGCCAGGGAUUGAACCUGCAACCUCAUGAUUCCUAGUUGAAUUUGUUUCUGCUACGCCAUGACGGCAACUCCUCAAACCUGUAUCUUUUAAUCAACAUGUUUUAAGUAAACAGUGACAAAGCAUGACAGAAUUCGGAGUCCAAAUUUGUUGGUUAGUAUUAUAAGUGGUGGUAUCCAUUUCUAUGUUUUUGGAUACCAAAAAAACAGUCAGGAUAAAUGGGUUUUCUGAGUGAAAAUGUUCUGUACCCUUAGGGGGUAGCAAAUUCCAAUAGUCUACUCCACUGUAUUUCUGUCCCCUUGCUGAUAAGAUACGCUGAUUAAAUGAGAAGUCAGAAAAGGUGUAUUCUUCAAUCAGAUUGUCCAUAUUGUUUCUUCUUACAACUAGUGAAGUUGUUUACUGUUACAUCAUAAAUGUUUGGAUCUUUUUAUCCCUCAAGGUUGACUUGCUUUGUAUAUUUCUCUAGAUAUUAAAGAUUUUUAGUAAGUUUCCUUUAGCUGUUUUAAAAUUAGACUCCUCCCUCUCAGAGCAGAUUUAGCCACUUACUGCUUUGUGUUUCUCCUUGCUUUUUAUUAAAUAUUUCUAUUCUAUGACAAUUUAUCUGUAUAGUCAACUUCCUCCUCAAGACUGUAAGGUUUUGUUAUCAGGUGCUUUAAUGUAAUUUGAGCAUAGAGCUGGCCUAUGGCAGAUACCCAAUGAAUGUUGAAUGAAUGAUGUGAAAUAAAUUUAGGAAUAUAAAAUUAUUAUUCUAAUAGCAAAGCCUUAAUUCAUUGAUCCUAUAUAAAUCAAUUUGCAGAAUAUUUAAAUAAUUAAUAAAGGAAUCAAAACCUAAAAAAAAAAA